This 241-nucleotide long non-coding RNA is filed under the name Ananas comosus (pineapple). RNAcentral describes it as "long non-coding RNA (ACOM_LNC037814)". The record is from RNAcentral. Lineage: Eukaryota; Viridiplantae; Streptophyta; Magnoliopsida; Poales; Bromeliaceae.
GUAUCAGGAGCUACGACUUCCAAAUUCAAUUGCUCCAUUUCCUUUACUAACAGCGAUUGCAUAGUUAUCGACAUCACCAAAUUUUCCGUCAAUUUUCGACUUAAAGCAUCUGCUACAACAGUAGCCUUUCCUGGAUGAUAAAGAAUGGUCAAAUCAUAAUCCUUGAGCAACUCCAACCAUCUACGUUGUCUGAAGUUUAAUUCCUUUUAUGAUCUGCAUACACUUCGCAACGCUCGCCGUA